UACAGAGGGGGCCAGCGUUAUUCGGAAUUAUUGGGCGUAAAGGGCGCGUAGGCGGCCAUGCGUGUCUUCCGUGAAAUCCCUCGGCUUAACCGAGGACGUGCGGAAGAAACUGCAAGGCUCGAGUCCGGAAGAGGGGGGCGGAAUUCCCAGUGUAGCGGUGAAAUGCGUAGAUAUUGGGAGGAACACCAGUGGCGAAGGCGGUCCCCUGGGCCAGAACUGACGCUGAGGCGCGAAAGCGUGGGGAGCAAGCAGG
This 253-nucleotide ribosomal RNA is filed under the name uncultured bacterium. RNAcentral's name for it is "partial 16S ribosomal RNA". It matches the Rfam family "Bacterial small subunit ribosomal RNA", at positions 524 to 776 of the family's 1533-position model. The record is from RNAcentral.